Molecule: transfer RNA, 75 nt
Filed under: Turneriella parva DSM 21527
Lineage: Bacteria; Pseudomonadati; Spirochaetota; Leptospiria; Leptospirales; Leptospiraceae
Description: tRNA-Gln
Rfam family: tRNA
About the family: Transfer RNA (tRNA) molecules are approximately 80 nucleotides in length. Their secondary structure includes four short double-helical elements and three loops (D, anti-codon, and T loops).
Source: RNAcentral
UGGGCCGUAGCCAAGUGGUAAGGCAGCGGAUUUUGAUUCCGCCAUGCGAAGGUUCGACCCCUUCCGGCCCAGCAA